RNAcentral lists this ribosomal RNA (497 nucleotides) under uncultured bacterium. RNAcentral's name for it is "partial 16S ribosomal RNA". It matches the Rfam family "Bacterial small subunit ribosomal RNA", at positions 28 to 507 of the family's 1533-position model. The record is from RNAcentral.
GAUGAACGCUGGCGGCGUGCCUAAUACAUGCAAGUCGAGCGAACGGACGAGAAGCUUGCUUCUCUGAUGUUAGCGGCGGACGGGUGAGUAACACGUGGAUAACCUACCUAUAAGACUGGGAUAACUUCGGGAAACCGGAGCUAAUACCGGAUGAUAUUUUGAACCGCAUGGUUCAAAAGUGAAAGACGGUCUUGCUGUCACUUAUAGAUGGAUCCGCGCUGCAUUAGCUAGUUGGUAAGGUAACGGCUUACCAAGGCAACGAUGCAUAGCCGACCUGAGAGGGUGAUCGGCCACACUGGAACUGAGACACGGUCCAGACUCCUACGGGAGGCAGCAGUAGGGAAUCUUCCGCAAUGGGCGAAAGCCUGACGGAGCAACGCCGCGUGAGUGAUGAAGGACUUCGGAUCGUAAAACUCUGUUAUUAGGGAAGAGCAUAUGUGUAAGUAACUGUGCACAUCUUGACGGUACCUAAUCAGAAAGCCACGGCUAACUACGUG